RNAcentral lists this ribosomal RNA (763 nucleotides) under Enterobacter hormaechei. Its description in RNAcentral is "bacterial SSU rRNA". It matches the Rfam family "Bacterial small subunit ribosomal RNA", at positions 17 to 770 of the family's 1533-position model. The record is from RNAcentral. Lineage: Bacteria; Pseudomonadati; Pseudomonadota; Gammaproteobacteria; Enterobacterales; Enterobacteriaceae.
UCCUGGCUCAGAUUGAACGCNGGCGGCAGGCUUAACACAUGCAAGUCGAACGGUAACAGGAAGCAGCUUGCUGCUUUGCUGACGAGUGGCGGACGGGUGAGUAAUGUCUGGGAAACUGCCUGAUGGAGGGGGAUAACUACUGGAAACGGUAGCUAAUACCGCAUAACGUCGCAAGACCAAAGAGGGGGACCUUCGGGCCUCUUGCCAUCGGAUGUGCCCAGAUGGGAUUAGCUAGUAGGUGGGGUAACGGCUCACCUAGGCGACGAUCCCUAGCUGGUCUGAGAGGAUGACCAGCCACACUGGAACUGAGACACGGUCCAGACUCCUACGGGAGGCAGCAGUGGGGAAUAUUGCACAAUGGGCGCAAGCCUGAUGCAGCCAUGCCGCGUGUAUGAAGAAGGCCUUCGGGUUGUAAAGUACUUUCAGCGGGGAGGAAGGUGUUAAGGUUAAUAACCUCAGCAAUUGACGUUACCCGCAGAAGAAGCACCGGCUAACUCCGUGCCAGCAGCCGCGGUAAUACGGAGGGUGCAAGCGUUAAUCGGAAUUACUGGGCGUAAAGCGCACGCAGGCGGUCUGUCAAGUCGGAUGUGAAAUCCCCGGGCUCAACCUGGGAACUGCAUUCGAAACUGGCAGGCUAGAGUCUUGUAGAGGGGGGUAGAAUUCCAGGUGUAGCGGUGAAAUGCGUAGAGAUCUGGAGGAAUACCGGUGGCGAAGGCGGCCCCCUGGACAAAGACUGACGUCAGGUGCGAAAGCNUGGGAGGCA